Molecule: ribosomal RNA, 494 nt
Filed under: uncultured soil bacterium
Lineage: Bacteria
Description: bacterial SSU rRNA
Rfam family: Bacterial small subunit ribosomal RNA
Source: RNAcentral
AGAUUGAACGCUGGCGGCAUGCCUUACACAUGCAAGUCGAACGGCAGCGCGGGGCAACCUGGCGGCGAGUGGCGAACGGGUGAGUAAUAUAUCGGAACGUACCCUGGAGUGGGGGAUAACGUAGCGAAAGUUACGCUAAUACCGCAUACGAUCUAAGGAUGAAAGUGGGGGAUUCGCAAGAACCUCAUGCUCCUGGAGCGGCCGAUAUCUGAUUAGCUAGUUGGUGGGUAAAGGCCUACCAAGGCAUCGAUCAGUAGCUGGUCUGAGAGGACGACCAGCCACACUGGAACUGAGACACGGUCCAGACUCCUACGGGAGGCAGCAGUGGGAAUUUUGGACAAUGGGCGAAAGCCUGAUCCAGCAAUGCCGCGUGAGUGAAGAAGGCCUUCGGUUGUAAAGCUCUUUUGUCAGGAAGAAACGGUGAAAGCGUAAUAUCUUUUAGCUAAUGACGUACCUGAAGAAUAAGCACGGCUAACGUACGUGCCAGCAGACCG